RNAcentral lists this ribosomal RNA (394 nucleotides) under uncultured bacterium. Its description in RNAcentral is "bacterial SSU rRNA". It matches the Rfam family "Bacterial small subunit ribosomal RNA", at positions 29 to 426 of the family's 1533-position model. The record is from RNAcentral.
AUUGAACGCUGGCGGCAUGCCUUACACAUGCAAGUCGAACGGCAGCACGGGGGCAACCCUGGUGGCGAGUGGCGAACGGGUGAGUAAUGCAUCGGAACGUGCCCUGAAGUGGGGGAUAACGUAGCGAAAGUUACGCUAAUACCGCAUAUUCUGUGAGCAGGAAAGCAGGGGAUCGCAAGACCUUGCGCUUUAGGAGCGGCCGAUGUCGGAUUAGCUAGUUGGUGGGGUAAGAGCUCACCAAGGCGACGAUCCGUAGCGGGUCUGAGAGGAUGAUCCGCCACACUGGGACUGAGACACGGCCCAGACUCCUACGGGAGGCAGCAGUGGGGAAUUUUGGACAAUGGGCGCAAGCCUGAUCCAGCCAUGCCGCGUGAGUGAAGAAGGCCUCGGUUGU